RNAcentral lists this ribosomal RNA (897 nucleotides) under Paenarthrobacter nitroguajacolicus. Its description in RNAcentral is "bacterial SSU rRNA". It matches the Rfam family "Bacterial small subunit ribosomal RNA", at positions 56 to 965 of the family's 1533-position model. The record is from RNAcentral. Lineage: Bacteria; Bacillati; Actinomycetota; Actinomycetes; Micrococcales; Micrococcaceae.
UGCAAGUCGAACGAUGAUCCCAGCUUGCUGGGGGAUUAGUGGCGAACGGGUGAGUAACACGUGAGUAACCUGCCCUUGACUCUGGGAUAAGCCUGGGAAACUGGGUCUAAUACCGGAUAUGACCGCUCUGACGCAUGUCAGGUGGUGGAAAGCUUUUGUGGUUUUGGAUGGACUCGCGGCCUAUCAGCUUGUUGGUGGGGUAAUGGCCUACCAAGGCGACGACGGGUAGCCGGCCUGAGAGGGUGACCGGCCACACUGGGACUGAGACACGGCCCAGACUCCUACGGGAGGCAGCAGUGGGGAAUAUUGCACAAUGGGCGCAAGCCUGAUGCAGCGACGCCGCGUGAGGGAUGACGGCCUUCGGGUUGUAAACCUCUUUCAGUAGGGAAGAAGCGAAAGUGACGGUACCUGCAGAAGAAGCGCCGGCUAACUACGUGCCAGCAGCCGCGGUAAUACGUAGGGCGCAAGCGUUAUCCGGAAUUAUUGGGCGUAAAGAGCUCGUAGGCGGUUUGUCGCGUCUGCUGUGAAAGACCGGGGCUCAACUCCGGUUCUGCAGUGGGUACGGGCAGACUAGAGUGAUGUAGGGGAGACUGGAAUUCCUGGUGUAGCGGUGAAAUGCGCAGAUAUCAGGAGGAACACCGAUGGCGAAGGCAGGUCUCUGGGCAUUAACUGACGCUGAGGAGCGAAAGCAUGGGGAGCGAACAGGAUUAGAUACCCUGGUAGUCCAUGCCGUAAACGUUGGGCACUAGGUGUGGGGGACAUUCCACGUUUUCCGCGCCGUAGCUAACGCAUUAAGUGCCCCGCCUGGGGAGUACGGCCGCAAGGCUAAAACUCAAAGGAAUUGACGGGGGCCCGCACAAGCGGCGGAGCAUGCGGAUUAAUUCGAUGCAACGCGAA